GACGAACGCUGGCGGCGUGCUUAACACAUGCAAGUCGAACGGAAAGGCCCUGCUUUUGUGGGGUGCUCGAGUGGCGAACGGGUGAGUAACACGUGAGUAACCUGCCCUUGACUUUGGGAUAACUUCAGGAAACUGGGGCUAAUACCGGAUAGUAGCUCCUGCUGCAUGGUGGGUGUUGGAAAGUUUCGGCGGUUGGGGAUGGACUCGCGGCUUAUCAGCUUGUUGGUGGGGUAGUGGCUUACCAAGGCUUUGACGGGUAGCCGGCCUGAGAGGGUGACCGGCCACAUUGAGACUGAGAUACGGCCCAGACUCCUACGGGAGGCAGCAGUGGGGAAUAUUGCACAAUGGGCGGAAGCCUGAUGCAGAAACGCCGCGUGCGGGAUGAAGGCCUUCGGGUUGUAAACCGCUUUCGCCUGUGACGAAGCGUGAGUGACGGUAAUAGGUAAAGAAGCACCGGCUAACUACGUG
Molecule: ribosomal RNA, 468 nt
Filed under: uncultured bacterium
Lineage: Bacteria
Description: partial 16S ribosomal RNA
Rfam family: Bacterial small subunit ribosomal RNA
Source: RNAcentral